CGCGGGGUGGAGCAGCCUGGUAGCUCGUCGGGCUCAUAACCCGAAGGUCGUCGGUUCAAAUCCGGCCCCCGCA
RNAcentral lists this transfer RNA (73 nucleotides) under Citrobacter freundii. Its description in RNAcentral is "tRNA-Met". It matches the Rfam family "tRNA". From Rfam's summary of the family: Transfer RNA (tRNA) molecules are approximately 80 nucleotides in length. Their secondary structure includes four short double-helical elements and three loops (D, anti-codon, and T loops). Lineage: Bacteria; Pseudomonadati; Pseudomonadota; Gammaproteobacteria; Enterobacterales; Enterobacteriaceae. RNAcentral also lists the same sequence under 100 other names. The record is from RNAcentral.